AGUGGCGGACGGCUGAGUAACGCGUAGGAAUUUACCCGAGACUGGGGAAUAGCCCGCCGAAAGGCGGGGGUAAUACCGCAUAGUCCUCACUUCGUGUGGGGUAAAGGGCGUAACUGCCCGGUCACGGAUGAGCCUGCGUCCUAUCAGGUAGUUGGUGGGGUAAUAGCCUACCAAGCCAAUGACGGGUAGCUGGCCUGAUGAGGGUGGUCAGCCAAGARGGGGACUGAGACACGGCCCCCACUCCUACGGGAGGCAGCAAUUAGGAAUAGUCGGCAAUGGGCGAAACCUGACCGCGCAACGCCGCGUGUAGGAAGACGCUCGAAAGAGUGUAAACUACUGUGGAGAGGGAAGARAACCGGAGUAAUCGGGUCUGACGGUACCUCUCUAGAAAGGGGCCGCUACUUCGUGCCAGAAGCGUCGGUAAUACGAGGGCCCCAAGCGUUAUCCGGUGUUACUGGGCGUAAAGAGUWGUGUAGGCGGUUGUGUAAGUUAUCUUUUAAAGCUCCCGGCUCAACUGGGAAAAAGGAGAUAAUACUGCAUGACUAGAGUUUUCUUAAGGGAGAAUGGAACUAAAGGAGGAGUAGUGAAAUGCGUUGAUACCUUUAGGAACACCAGUGGCGAAGGCGAUUCUCUGGAAGAAAAYUGACGYUGAGACACGAAAGCUAGGGGAGCGAAGCAGAUUAGAGACCUGCGUAGUCCUAGCCGUAAACGCAUGCUUGCUAGCUGCAUGAGAUUAGCUUUUAGCUAUUAGCUCUUUGCUAUAAGCUGAAAGCUGAUUUCGUGUGGCGAAGGUAACCCGUUAAGCAAGCCGCCUGGGGAUUACGGCCGCAAGGCUAAAACUCAAAGGAAUUGGCGGGGAGGCACACAACCAGUGGAACAUGUGGUUCAAUUCGAAACGAACCGAAGAACCUUACCAAGGCUUGACAUGCAACUGCAAAUCCCGUGAAAGCGGGACUUCUUCGAGAGUGUUGCACAGGUGCUGCAUGGCUGUCGUCAGUUCGUUCCGUGAGGAGUGCCCUUAAGUGGGACAACGAACGUAACCCCUAUCUUGUGUUACAAGUGUCACAAGAAACUGCCCUGCCAGUUGGCGGGGAGGAAGGAAGGGCAGAUGUCAAGUCCGCAUGGCCCUUACGCCUUGGGCUACACACAUGUUACAAUGGACAAGAACAGCGAGCUAUGCAAGCUGGUAACAGCAAGCCAAUCUCUGAAAUUUGUCCUCAGUGGGAUUGAGGUCUGCAAUUCGACCUCAUGAACAUGGAAUUGGUAGUAAUCGCGGGUCAGCUAUACCGCGGUGAAUACAGU
Molecule: ribosomal RNA, 1302 nt
Filed under: uncultured Microgenomates group bacterium
Lineage: Bacteria
Description: bacterial SSU rRNA
Rfam family: Bacterial small subunit ribosomal RNA
Source: RNAcentral